This 1328-nucleotide ribosomal RNA is filed under the name Brevibacterium sp. RNAcentral describes it as "bacterial SSU rRNA". It matches the Rfam family "Bacterial small subunit ribosomal RNA", at positions 62 to 1398 of the family's 1533-position model. The record is from RNAcentral. Lineage: Bacteria; Bacillati; Actinomycetota; Actinomycetes; Micrococcales; Brevibacteriaceae.
UCGAACGCUGAAGCCUGGUGCUUGCACCGGGUGGAUGAGUGGCGAACGGGUGAGUAACACGUGAGUAACCUGCCCCUGACUUCGGGAUAAGCCCGGGAAACUGGGUCUAAUACCGGAUACGACUGCCGGACGCAUGUCUGGUGGUGGAAAGUUUUUUCGGUUGGGGAUGGGCUCGCGGCCUAUCAGUUUGUUGGUGAGGUAAUGGCUCACCAAGACGACGACGGGUAGCCGGCCUGAGAGGGCGACCGGCCACACUGGGACUGAGACACGGCCCAGACUCCUACGGGAGGCAGCAGUGGGGAAUAUUGCACAAUGGGGGAAACCCUGAUGCAGCGACGCAGCGUGCGGGAUGACGGCCUUCGGGUUGUAAACCGCUUUCAGCAGGGAAGAAGCGCAAGUGACGGUACCUGCAGAAGAAGUACCGGCUAACUACGUGCCAGCAGCCGCGGUAAUACGUAGGGUACGAGCGUUGUCCGGAAUUAUUGGGCGUAAAGAGCUCGUAGGUGGUUGGUCACGUCUGCUGUGGAAACGCAACGCUUAACGUUGCGCGUGCAGUGGGUACGGGCUGACUAGAGUGCAGUAGGGGAGUCUGGAAUUCCUGGUGUAGCGGUGAAAUGCGCAGAUCAGGAGGAACACCGGUGGCGAAGGCGGGACUCUGGGCUGUAACUGACACUGAGGAGCGAAAGCAUGGGGAGCGAACAGGAUUAGAUACCCUGGUAGUCCAUGCCGUAAACGUUGGGCACUAGGUGUGGGGGGCAUUCCACGUUCUCCGCGCCGUAGCUAACGCAUUAAGUGCCCCGCCUGGGGAGUACGGUCGCAAGGCUAAAACUCAAAGGAAUUGACGGGGGCCCGCACAAGCGGCGGAGCAUGCGGAUUAAUUCGAUGCAACGCGAAGAACCUUACCAAGGCUUGACAUACACCGGACCGUCCUGGAAACAGGUCUUCUUCUUUGAAGCUGGUGUACAGGUGGUGCAUGGUUGUCGUCAGCUCGUGUCGUGAGAUGUUGGGUUAAGUCCCGCAACGAGCGCAACCCUCGUUCUAUGUUGCCAGCAUGUGAUGGUGGGAACUCAUAGGAGACUGCCGGGGUCAACUCGGAGGAAGGUGGGGAUGACGUCAAAUCAUCAUGCCCUUUAUGUCUUGGGCUUCACGCAUGCUACAAUGGCUGGUACAGAGAGAGGCGAACCCGUGAGGGCAAGCGAAUCCCUUAAAGCCAGUCUCAGUUCGGAUCGUAGUCUGCAAUUCGACUACGUGAAGUCGGAGUCGCUAGUAAUCGCAGAUCAGCAACGCUGCGGUGAAUACGUUCCCGGGCCUUGUACACACCGCCCGUC